Molecule: ribosomal RNA, 498 nt
Filed under: uncultured bacterium
Lineage: Bacteria
Description: partial 16S ribosomal RNA
Rfam family: Bacterial small subunit ribosomal RNA
Source: RNAcentral
GAUGAACGCUGGCGGCGUGCCUAAUACAUGCAAGUCGAGCGAACAGACGAGAGUGCUUGCACUCUCUGACGUUAGCGGCGGACGGGUGAGUAACACGUGGGUAACCUACCUAUAAGACUGGAUAACUUCGGGAAACCGGAGCUAAUACCGGAUAAUAUUUAGCUUCGCAUGAAGCAAUAGUGAAAGACGGUUCUGCUGUCACUUAUAGAUGGACCCGCGGUGUAUUAGCUAGUUGGUGAGGUAACGGCUCACCAAGGCAACGAUACAUAGCCGACCUGAGAGGGUGAUCGGCCACACUGGGACUGAGACACGGCCCAGACUCCUACGGGAGGCAGCAGUAGGGAAUCUUCCGCAAUGGACGAAAGUCUGACGGAGCAAUGCCGCGUGAGUGAAGAAGGUUUUCGGAUCGUAAAACUCUGUUGUAAGGGAAGAACAAGUACGUUAGUAACUGAACGUACCUUGACGGUACCUUACCAGAAAGCCACGGCUAACUACGUG